RNAcentral lists this long non-coding RNA (3515 nucleotides) under Nicotiana benthamiana. RNAcentral's name for it is "long non-coding RNA (NBEN_LNC006767)". The record is from RNAcentral. Lineage: Eukaryota; Viridiplantae; Streptophyta; Magnoliopsida; Solanales; Solanaceae.
UGAAGGAGACGCCAUGGCCUGCGGAAGCCUGCAUGUCUACCUCGGGUCUCCGGGAAGACUGAAGGAAGCAAUCCAACUACUAUCCAAAAGCUACUCCGGGAUCUGAACAUAGUGCAGAGUGUAGUAUCAGCACAACCGACCCCAUGUACUGGUAAGUCCCUAGCCUAACCUCGGCGAAGUAAAGAUGAGGCUAUUAUAUAUGGGAGCUGGUGGUACACUAUAGGACGCAAAUCAGANNNNNNNNNNNNNNNNNNNNNNNNNNNNNNNNNNNNNNNNNNNNNNNNNNNNNNNNNNNNNNNNNNNNNNNNNNNNNNNNNNNNNNNNNNNNNNNNNNNNNNNNNNNNNNNNNNNNNNNNNNNNNNNNNNNNNNNUAUAUAUAUAUAUAUAUAUAUACAUAUAUAUAUAAAAUAAAAAAUUUGUGAGCACAUGAUUUUUGCCCUAUACGAAGAUAACUCCUAAAAGUAUACCAAAAAAUUUUUAUCAAUUUUUCAGGAAUUUUUCUUUAUUUAGUCGCAUUAUAAACAUUUUAAAUGUUUUUAAAUCAAGAAAAAAAUACAAAAAUAUCAUGCAUUACAUUCAGUAUUCAUUUUGACAUUUAGAAUUAAUCAGUGAUUACUUAUUUUAAAAAAUUGAAAUUACAAAAAAUGCUUCAUUUUUAUACUUUUUCCUUUUAUUGAUUUUUUCUCUUUUAAUUUAGGAUUAAAUAGCUUUUAUAAUUUUUAUAAUUAGUCUAAUUUUACCAUUUAGAUAGUAAAAUUGUAAAAACCGUGGAGUUUUUGCUUUCAAAAAUUCCGACCAAAAACCGUGGAUCUCCCGGCCAAAAAUCGUGGAGUUUUUGCUUUCCAAUAUCCCGGCCAAAAAAUCAAGGAUCUCCCAUCCAAAAAACUGCGGAGCAUUUUCUAUCUAAUUCCCGGCCAAAAAUCCGAGGAUCUCACAGCCAAAAAAUCGCGGAGCUUUUUCUGUUUAAAUACUGGCCAAAAAAUCGAGGAUCUCCUUGGCAUAACCUAAGGAUCUUUUUAUUUUCAAAUCCCGGAAUAACCCGUGGACCUUUUCCGGCAUAACCCGUGGACCUUUUCCGGCAUAACCCUGGACCCUUUCAGGCAUAACCCGAUGAUUUUUCCGGCAUAACCCGUGAACCUUUUCCGGCAUUACCCGAUGAUUUUUUUCCGGCAUAACUCGUGGACUUUUUUCAGUACAACCCGAUGACUUUCUCGGCAUAACCGAUGGACCUGUUCCGGCAUAACCCGAUAACAUCCCCGUCAUAACCCGAGGACCCCUCUCUCUUUUCCGGCAUAACCCGGCCGUUUUCCAGCAUAACCUGGAUUCAAUCACAAAGAUACACAAUCCUGAUUUGACUGCUUAGAUAUGUGUCACAGCUAACUCACGAAAUUUUCCUAGUAAAAACUAUGGCAGAAAAUUUCGUUCAUUUGUUUGUUUUGGUAUCUUAACCAGGUUGACCUCAAAACACAGGAUUCAAGAUGACCAAAAGAAUGACUCUCAAUCCAGAAUAAAGAAAAGAGGAAAAGAACAAAAAGAAGUGAACUUAAAGUGGUGAAGUGGGGAAGGACGUGGACUGCUCAAGAUACGAUUGAAGUCACGAGCUUCGCAUGUCCCGCCUUGAUCUAAAGCUGAAGAAUGCACCAGCGGUAAUAGCUGACGAGCAUCGAGAUUCAGAUCAGAGUCUGCCUCAAGAACUAGCCAAGACUCAAGAUCAAGCUUCAAAAGAUUUAUAGAUAGGAAUCUUGUAGCUCGUAGUUGAUAGGGAGCUAGCUUAGCUUUUGAUUUUCCUUUUUUGGUGUAAUAAGGAGGUCAGCAAAUAGUAGCAUCAGCAACAGCGGUGAAAUCACAGCUCUUGGUAGUCUCAGCUACCAAAACUUCCAGAACACUGACCUGAUUCCUUUAUAACCAAGGAUACGUAGGCAACCUUUGGAGCAAGGUUCGGACAGACUCUUUCAAAAAUGGCUUCUCAUGGAGUUUUAAAAUGGGAAAAAAUACCUCAUAUUGCUCAUUUUAUCUUUGCCCGAAAAUCCUUCGUGUCACCGAGCAAAGAGGGGCAGCUGUGAACAUGUGAUUUUUGCCCUACAUGAAGAUAACACCUAAAAAUAUAUCAAAAUAAUUUUUAUCAAUUUUUCAAGAAUUUUUCUUUAUUUAGUUGCAUUAUACACAUUUUAAAUGUUUUUAAAUCAAGAAAAAAAUACAAAAAUAUCAUGCAUUACAUUCAGUAUUCAUUUUUACACUUUUAGAAUUAAUCAGUAAUUACUUAUUUUAAAAAAUUGAAAUUACAAAAAAAUGCUUCAUUUUUAUACUUUUUCCUUUUAUUGAUUUUUUCUCUUUUAAUUUAGGAUUAAAUAGCUUUUAUAAUUUUUAUAAUUAGACAAUUUAGAUAGUUUAGGAUUUUAAUUUUUAGGAUUUUUAAUCAAAGAAAAGAGAAUAAGGAUUCAAUUGCAAUGAAGUUUUAUAUUAAGUAAUUGGGCCGUUUAAAGUCAUAAUCAAUCCUAAAAAUUACCCAAACCCAUCUAAAACAAGCUCAAAUGCUCUUACCCGAUCCAAAACCCUUUUCCCUUUAGAAACACGCAAAUAGCGUGGUCUCUUCUCCAUUCUUCGAUCCCAGCUAUUUUACCCUAUUCUUCUUCUCCACUCCCCUAAAAAAUCACGAAUCAGAUUUGAGAUACCUCCCCCUCAAAAUCGACAAAAAUAGACCCCUUAGAUUGAACACCGUUCCUUAGCCUCACCAUCUCUUCCUCAAGAAGGAAAGAACAUCAAUAGACCUUUCUUUAUCUCAAACGCACACAACAACAGAAGAGAGAAUCAUAGCAGCUGGAAAAUUUUGGGUUUCCAGAUCUGAAAAAUACCAGAAAAUCACAGAGAAAUUCCACACAAAGAAAAAUAAAAACAAAAAACAAAAAAGAAGAAGAAAGAUUUCAAAGUUUACUUGCAAUUUCAGCUGCAUUUUUGUUCAAGUUGUGUUUUCUCGAGCUGGUUUCUGACUGAGAAUCAAAGCUGAACGCUGUUGUUCCGUCACUAGCUGAACUCCGUAGUCGUCUAGCUGCUAUUUUUGUAUUCUGCUGAAAUUUAACGUAUGCAGCUGAACACUCCUUUGACUAUGGGUUAUAUAUCUGCUAUUUUAUUUUUGAUCUCAUGUAACCAUACAAGUGUUCUCUGGAUUUAAUUGUAUUAUGCUUUUGCUUAGUCUGCCUAUGGCUCUUUUUUCAAAUCUUAUGGUUUUCUUUGGAUAUGUUACGUUCUUUGAAUUCUUAUUUUGCUUCUCUAAGUGUUUUUAAACAUUUUUGCUUGCUCUGUUCGAUAUAGAUGAAGGACAGCAAAUGACUGCAACAGAUCAUUCUUUAAGCCUUUACUUAGGGAAUCAAUAAUUCAAAUGCACUAGUGACUUUGGGUACGGUUUACGUGAUAUAGUUACGAUGCCUAAUUUUGAAUUCGGGCGUGUCAUUUAGCGAAUUUUCAUGGCCCUCACAAAGUAGAAAAUCAUAGUUGUCUUAGCUUGACCUUCAAAGAAU